CCUAUAUUUUAUUUUGGUAAUGCAUGCAGUAUUCCCUCUAGAAUCGAAUUUACAAAGAAAUCCACAAUGGGGGCAAUUGUAGAGGUGUUCUUCCUUUCUCUCUCGCACAUAGUACAAAACCCUCUAGCAGUGAUAUUGUUAAGCCAAAUUUAGAAGGGACUCCAUAUUCUACAGAGAGGAUCACUGAGGAAGCCAGUGAUCAAAACUCAGGAAUAAACAAUCUUUGCUCAUUUUAAACUAUACAAAUAUUUGUUGAAUAAAUUCUAUUUUAUUUGUAUCCUCUUUUGAUGGAAUGUUAGUUUCUGAAGCCAAAUGAUAUACAGAUUCUUCAGAAAACCCUGCUGAACACUCAACUAUACUUCUUGGCAUAUUUGCCUCCGUAUACAGGUUUUGUCGAAUCUCUGUCUACUGGGUACUGCUUCUUGUUUCUCCUGAAAACAACUCCCCCACCUUGUAGAGGAAACUGCUCUUUCUCUACUUCAACUGUGCGGUUCUAGUGUGAACUGCUAAUUAUAGAGCCCUGACUUCUCUGUUCCUGUCAUAUGGGCAGGAAUGUGGUUAAUCAUCAUGUAUUAUGCACUGGCUUUCGUGAUGGCUCCAAGCGGCUAUGGAAGCUAAACCAGUUAGCAACCCUCUCCAGGAUUUUCAAAGUGGAGCUAGGAGAGAAGGCAGAGCCCUUUCUUUUCUGGUGAUGAUGCCUGAAACAGCCAUGUAACUCCAGCAUGCGGAGAAAGCACGUCUGCAAGAUGGAGGCCAAGUGGCAGACACAGGCGAUACAAAGGGUAGAAUCCUUGAGGCCCCCACUGCCCUCUUUGGCCUCCACUGCCUCUGGGGGUUGGCACUCCCUCUUUUCUCUCUAUUCUGCGAGCUCUAAUAUCUUUCUUCUUGCUCCUCUUCCCUGCCCAAGUCAUCGAUUUUUAAGGAAUAUAUGCUCCCUUACUGGGAUUUUUCCCACCUGCUGGGAAACUCAGCUCAACCCCCAGCUCAGAUACUGCUUACCUGUGAUCCACUGCUGGCCUGGCCACAGAUUCCAGAAGCAGUGACGGGAGAAUGGAAUGAGAUGGUCAGCACUUGACAUCUACAGGGAAAUGUCCCACUAAAGAACUUGAUAUCAGCAACGAAGGGAAAUGAGAUUGUCCUCCAUGAGCUAAACAACAAAAUCGAUAUAUAUUGUAUGGAGCAGAGAUGUGCAAAGUCAUCAUGAUGAACAUAGUAAUCUGAUCGAAGGUAUUAACAGAUCUAAAGGACUAGUGGUCAAUCUGAAGCAGGCUUAUAUACUAUGGGAGAAGGAAAAGGAGAGAGGUGAGAAAGCAAAUCUGUGUACUCCAUCCACAUUUUGGGUCUGCUAAGCACUGAGCUAAGGACAGUGAACAAAUCCCACUUACCCUACCUUCAUGGAGUUCUAAGCCAAACUCACAGAGUCAUCUAAGAACAACUCAGGGGGAAAAAGCAACUUGGUCAAGGGCAUCCAGUAUUCCAGGCCAAAGGCAAUGUAGCUCCUUUGUGGCCAUGAAUGUUAUUUCCCUUUCCAUCUUCCCAUCUCAGGCUCAUAGAUGAGGAACUUUUUCCACCCAACUUGCAGACAAUAAUGUAGAGAAGAGUUGCAAUCUUUCCCUCCUUUCCCUCCCCCUUUUACUCUUUUGUCCCCAAAGGAGGAGGAACUAAUCAGACUCAGGACUGCCUGUCAACUGCUGGACCUCCUGUUUCAAGAGAUGAGCCAUGGAGUCAGGGGCGCUGCUCAUGCAUGGCAUGCUCUUUUGCUUUCUUUGAUCAGCCCGUCCAGCACUGGAGUUCUUGAGCCUCACAUCUUCAAAUCUAGAAAAUCUGCUGUCUUGGAUGGAGUAGAUUUCAGACCCAUGCUAAGCUGA
This 1868-nucleotide long non-coding RNA is filed under the name Felis catus (domestic cat). RNAcentral's name for it is "lncRNA (ENSFCAG00000042809.2)". Lineage: Eukaryota; Metazoa; Chordata; Mammalia; Carnivora; Felidae. The record is from RNAcentral.